Molecule: ribosomal RNA, 471 nt
Filed under: uncultured bacterium
Lineage: Bacteria
Description: bacterial SSU rRNA
Rfam family: Bacterial small subunit ribosomal RNA
Source: RNAcentral
GAGUGGACUCCUACGGGAGGCAGCAGUGAGGAAUAUUGGUCAAUGGGCGAGAGCCUGAACCAGCCAAGUCGCGUGAAGGAUGACUGUCUUAUGGAUUGUAAACUUCUUUUAUACGGGAAUAACAAGAGUCACGUGUGACUCCCUGCAUGUACCGUAUGAAUAAGCAUCGGCUAACUCCGUGCCAGCAGCCGCGGUAAUACGGAGGAUGCGAGCGUUAUCCGGAUUUAUUGGGUUUAAAGGGUGCGUAGGCGGUUUGUUAAGUCAGCGGUGAAAUCUAGAGGCUCAACCUCGAAACUGCCGUUGAAACUGGCGAACUUGAGUGUAGAUGAGGUAGGCGGAAUUCGUGGUGUAGCGGUGAAAUGCAUAGAUAUCACGAGGAACUCCGAUUGCGAAGGCAGCUUACUAAGGUACAACUGACGCUGAAGCACGAAAGCGUGGGUAUCAAACAGGAUUAGAUACCCUUGUAGUCCU